This 393-nucleotide ribosomal RNA is filed under the name Burkholderia sp. 3CBP. Its description in RNAcentral is "bacterial SSU rRNA". It matches the Rfam family "Bacterial small subunit ribosomal RNA", at positions 389 to 774 of the family's 1533-position model. The record is from RNAcentral. Lineage: Bacteria; Pseudomonadati; Pseudomonadota; Betaproteobacteria; Burkholderiales; Burkholderiaceae.
CAGCAUGCCGCGUGUGUGAAGAAGGCCUUCGGGUUGUAAAGCACUUUUGUCCGGAAAGAAAACCUCUUGGUUAAUACCUGAGGGGGAUGACGGUACCGGAAGAAUAAGCACCGGCUAACUACGUGCCAGCAGCCGCGGUAAUACGUAGGGUGCGAGCGUUAAUCGGAAUUACUGGGCGUAAAGCGUGCGCAGGCGGUCUGUUAAGACCGAUGUGAAAUCCCCGGGCUUAACCUGGGAACUGCAUUGGUGACUGGCAGGCUUUGAGUGUGGCAAAGGGAGGUAGAAUUCCACGUGUAGCAGUGAAAUGCGUAGAGAUGUGGAGGAAUACCGAUGGCGAAGGCAGCCUCCUGGGCCAACACUGACGCUCAUGCACGAAAGCGUGGGGAGCAAACA